UACGUAGGGUGCGAGCGUUGUCCGGAUUUAUUGGGCGUAAAGGGCUCGUAGGCGGCCUGUCGCGUCGGGGAGUGAAAGCCCACUGCUUAACGGUGGGUCUGCUUCCGGUACGGGCGGGCUGGAGUAUGGCAGGGGAGACUGGAAUUCCUGGUGUAGCGGUGGAAUGCGCAGAUAUCAGGAGGAACACCGGUGGCGAAGGCGGGUCUCUGGGCCAUUACUGACGCUGAGGAGCGAAAGCGUGGGGAGCGAACAGG
RNAcentral lists this ribosomal RNA (254 nucleotides) under uncultured bacterium. Its description in RNAcentral is "partial 16S ribosomal RNA". It matches the Rfam family "Bacterial small subunit ribosomal RNA", at positions 524 to 776 of the family's 1533-position model. The record is from RNAcentral.